UGUGCGCAAGGGGAAGGAUUUGUUGCGCAAAUUCCCCAUUUUUGAGUGGUAAUGCGCAGAUUGGGCCUGUCAAAUGAGUUACCUCGUGGACCUUACUCCAUAAAGCUGUGCCAUUUUAUUAAAUGGUCAUUUAAGACCCCUUUUCUUCUAUUUCUUUUCCCCAAACGCAGCCCCCAUUUUAGAUCAAAAAAAUUCCAGUCUUCAAAAUCAAAUUUUUUUUUUUAGGGUUUCCUCCACUUGACUGCCAAGCCACCAUGAUUUUAGGUGAUUACCAGUAAGCGAGACAUGCUCAAUCUUGCCGUUAAGGGAACUCGACCAGAUCUAAAAGGAUUCGGUACGGAGCACGGGGCUGUGCGUUGGCACUCGGUUAUGGGUUCAGAGACUGGGGCGACGUGAGGCCGUGCGUUGGCCCUUGGCACGAGGGUAUGGGGCGAUGGCAGACAGUAUGGGCGAUUGAACUUGGGGGCUGAGAAGUUUUAGGACUAGUUGGGCUAUGGUUUAGUUUUGGGCUUGGGUAUAUUGGGCUGUUAUAUUUGUUUAUGGGCCCGGGCUAUAUUGGGUCUGUACAAUGUGAUAGUUGUAAAAUUGCUAUGAUAAUAAAUUUAAUUUUUAAAUAUUA
Gossypium arboreum is the source of this 619-nucleotide long non-coding RNA. RefSeq lists it as uncharacterized. NCBI's taxonomy places the organism in Eukaryota, Viridiplantae, Streptophyta, Magnoliopsida, Malvales, Malvaceae. The record is from RefSeq and is a predicted model, not a curated record. The transcript is spliced from 2 exons.